RNAcentral lists this ribosomal RNA (413 nucleotides) under uncultured bacterium. RNAcentral's name for it is "bacterial SSU rRNA". It matches the Rfam family "Bacterial small subunit ribosomal RNA", at positions 29 to 487 of the family's 1533-position model. The record is from RNAcentral.
AACGAACGCUGGCGGCAGGCCUAACACAUGCAAGUCGAGCGCGCCUUUCGGGGUGAGCGGCGGACGGGUUAGUAACGCGUGGGAAUAUGCCCUUUGGUACGGAAUAGCCUCUGGAAACGGAGAGUAAUACCGUAUGAGCCCUUCGGGGGAAAGAUUUAUCGGAUUUGGAUCGGCCCGCGUUAGAUUAGAUAGUUGGUGGGGUAAUGGCCUACCAAGUCUACGAUCUAUGGCUGGUUUUAGAGGAUGAUCAGCAACACUGGGACUGAGACACGGCCCAGACUCCUACGGGAGGCAGCAGUGGGGAAUCUUGGACAAUGGGCGCAAGCCUGAUCCAGCCAUGCCGCGUGAGUGAUGAAGGCCUUAGGGUCGUAAAGCUCUUUCGCCUGUGAUGAUAAUGACAGUAGCAGGUAAAG